UACGGGGGGGGCAAGCGUUGUUCGGAAUUAUUGGGCGUAAAGAGCUCGUAGGCGGUUUGUCGCGUCUGCCGUGAAAGUCCGGGGCUCAACUCCGGAUCUGCGGUGGGUACGGGCAGACUAGAGUGAUGUAGGGGAGACUGGGAUUCCUGGUGUAGCGGUGAAAUGCGCAGAUAUCAGGAGGAACACCGAUGGCGAAGGCAGGUCUCUGGGCAUUAACUGACGCUGAGGAGCGAAAGCAUGGGGAGCGAACAGG
Molecule: ribosomal RNA, 253 nt
Filed under: uncultured bacterium
Lineage: Bacteria
Description: partial 16S ribosomal RNA
Rfam family: Bacterial small subunit ribosomal RNA
Source: RNAcentral